Molecule: non-coding RNA, 45 nt
Filed under: Schistosoma margrebowiei
Lineage: Eukaryota; Metazoa; Platyhelminthes; Trematoda; Strigeidida; Schistosomatidae
Source: RNAcentral
AUCCAACUGACGAGUCACAAAUAGGAUGAAACGCAUGUCCUGGAA